Small nucleolar RNA from Vigna umbellata (rice bean), 107 nucleotides. Lineage: Eukaryota; Viridiplantae; Streptophyta; Magnoliopsida; Fabales; Fabaceae. The record is from RefSeq and is a predicted model, not a curated record.
AAUUCAUGGUUGGGACAUUUACUAAAUAAGGCCUUGUAUAUUUCCCAUGCCUCAUAGAAUGGUUCACCAAAUCCUUGAGAGAAUGUUGCAAUGGCAGAUUCGACACU